UUGACGGGGACCCGCACAAGCGGUGGAGCAUGUGGUUUAAUUCGAAGCAACGCGAAGAACCUUACCAAAUCUUGACAUCCUUUGACAACUCUAGAGAUAGAGCCUUCCUCUUCGGGGGACAAAGUGACAGGUGGUGCAUGGUUGUCGUCAGCUCGUGUCGUGAGAUGUUGGGUUAAGUCCCGCAACGAGCGCAACCCUUAAGCUUAGUUGCCAUCAUUAAGUUGGGCACUCUAAGUUGACUGCCGGUGACAAACCGGAGGAAGGUGGGGAUGACGUCAAAUCAUCAUGCCCCUUAUGAUUUGGGCUACACACGUGCUACAAUGGACAAUACAAAGGGCAGCGAAACCGCGAGGUCAAGCAAAUCCCAUAAAGUUGUUCUCAGUUCGGAUUGUAGUCUGCAACUCGACUACAUGAAGCUGGAAUCGCUAGUAAUCGUAGAUCAGCAUGCUACGGUGAAUACGUUCCCGGGUCUUGUACACACCGCCCGUCACACCACGAGAGUUUGUAACACCCGAAGCCG
Molecule: ribosomal RNA, 520 nt
Filed under: Staphylococcus aureus
Lineage: Bacteria; Bacillati; Bacillota; Bacilli; Caryophanales; Staphylococcaceae
Description: bacterial SSU rRNA
Rfam family: Bacterial small subunit ribosomal RNA
Source: RNAcentral